CCAAUAAGCGGAGGAAAAGAAACCAACAGGGAUUACCCUAGUAACGGCGAGUGAAGCGGUAAUAGCUCAAAUUUAAAAUCUGGCUCUCUUCAAAAGAGGCCCGAGUUGUAAUUUGUAGAGGAUGCUUCGGGUGCGGUCUCGGCGUAAGUCCCUUGGAACAGGGUGUCAGAGAGGGUGAGAAUCCCGUCUUUCGCCGUUGGUUCCGCGCCCGUGUGAAGCUCCUUCGACGAGUCGAGUUGUUUGGGAAUGCAGCUCUAAGUGGGUGGUAAAUUUCAUCUAAAGCUAAAUAUUGGCCGGAGACCGAUAGCGCACAAGUAGAGUGAUCGAAAGGUUAAAAGCACCUUGAAAAGGGAGUGAAACAGUACGUGAAAUUGUUGAAAGGGAAGCGCUUGCGGUCAGACUUAGGGGGUUUUGUUUGGUAGACGCUUGCCGUCUAUUUACUCAAUUCCUCCUAGGCCAGCAUCGGUUUCUGUGGCCGUCAAAGGCCCCUGGAAUGUAUCGUCUUUCGGGACGUCUUAUAGCCAGGGGUGCAAUGCGGCCUAUAGGGACCGAGGAACGCGCUUCGGCUCGGAUGCUGGCAUAAUGGCCGUAAGCGGCCCGUCUUGAAACACC
Molecule: ribosomal RNA, 612 nt
Filed under: Leucothecium emdenii
Lineage: Eukaryota; Fungi; Ascomycota; Eurotiomycetes; Onygenales
Description: eukaryotic LSU rRNA
Rfam family: Eukaryotic large subunit ribosomal RNA
Source: RNAcentral